RNAcentral lists this ribosomal RNA (424 nucleotides) under uncultured bacterium. RNAcentral's name for it is "bacterial SSU rRNA". It matches the Rfam family "Bacterial small subunit ribosomal RNA", at positions 355 to 776 of the family's 1533-position model. The record is from RNAcentral.
UGAGGAAUAUUGGUCAAUGGGCGGGAGCCUGAACCAGCCAAGUCGCGUGAGGGAAGACGGUCCUACGGAUUGUAAACCUCUUUUGCCGGGGAGCAACGGGGUCCUUGCGAGGGUCCUAUGAGAGUACCCGGAGAAAAAGCAUCGGCUAACUCCGUGCCAGCAGCCGCGGUAAUACGGAGGAUGCGAGCGUUAUCCGGAUUUAUUGGGUUUAAAGGGUGCGUAGGCGGGCUGUUAAGUCAGCGGUCAAAUGUCGGGGCUCAACCCCGGCCUGCCGUUGAAACUGGCGGCCUCGAGUGGGCGAGAAGUAUGCGGAAUGCGUGGUGUAGCGGUGAAAUGCAUAGAUAUCACGCAGAACUCCGAUUGCGAAGGCAGCAUACCGGCGCCCUACUGACGCUGAGGCACGAAAGCGUGGGUAUCGAACAGG